CGGCACGGGUGAGUAACACGUAUGCAAUCCACCUGUAACAGGGGGAUAACCCGGAGAAAUCCGGACUAAUACCCCAUAAUAUGGGCGCUCCGCAUGGAGAGCCCAUUAAAGAGAGCAAUUUUGGUUACAGACGAGCAUGCGCUCCAUUAGCCAGUUGGCGGGGUAACGGCCCACCAAGCUCGAUGGAUAGGGGUUCUGAGAGGAAGGUCCCCCACAUUGGAACUGAGACACGGUCCAA
This 238-nucleotide ribosomal RNA is filed under the name uncultured bacterium. RNAcentral's name for it is "partial 16S ribosomal RNA". It matches the Rfam family "Bacterial small subunit ribosomal RNA", at positions 100 to 334 of the family's 1533-position model. The record is from RNAcentral.